UACGGGGGGGGGCAAGCGUUGUUCGGAAUUACUGGGCGUAAAGGGCUCGUAGGCGGCCAACUAAGUCAGACGUGAAAUCCCUCGGCUUAACCGGGGAACUGCGUCUGAUACUGGAUGGCUUGAAUCCGGGAGAGGGAUGCGGAAUUCCAGGUGUAGCGGUGAAAUGCGUAGAUAUCGGUGGGAACGCCAGUGGCGAAAGCGGCAAACUUGACCCUUCCUGACGCUGAUGCGCGAAAGCUAGGGGAGCAAACGGG
RNAcentral lists this ribosomal RNA (254 nucleotides) under uncultured bacterium. RNAcentral's name for it is "partial 16S ribosomal RNA". It matches the Rfam family "Bacterial small subunit ribosomal RNA", at positions 524 to 776 of the family's 1533-position model. The record is from RNAcentral.